This 1378-nucleotide long non-coding RNA is filed under the name Gallus gallus (chicken). RNAcentral describes it as "lncRNA (ENSGALG00010009624.1)". Lineage: Eukaryota; Metazoa; Chordata; Aves; Galliformes; Phasianidae. The record is from RNAcentral.
UCUCUUUCUCAAGAUCCCUCUUUUGUGAAGCUUUUCAUUGCAAGCUUAAAUCUCCAGAUAUGGAUGGCAGCUGAGGGGCAGUCUGAUAGAAUGGUGCCUGACAUGGAAAUGCAUACAAAGAAAAUGUGGGCCAUUGAAUUCCUCCAUGCAGAAAAAAAUGGCACACACUGACGUUCAUUGCUGCUUGAUGAAUGUUUAUAGAGACUGAAAAUGGAUAUGAGCACAGUGAGGCAGUGGGUGCUGUUUCAACAGUGGUGACAGUGGGUCACCUUUGCUGGUACAGAUUUUGACAAGCACAGCAUGGAGACUCUUGUUCAUUGCUGGCAAAAAUGCAUAGUUAAUGGUGGUGACUGUUGAAAAAUAGUGAUGUGUAACUGAGAAAUUGGUGUAUCCAUUAAUGUUCUCUUUGUAUCUGUUGUAUACCUACAUAUAAUAACAAACUAUAGUGGAGAUACAACUUCCAAGUACAUCCCAAGCACAUUUUUUUCUGUUUGAAAACUGAAUAGAUUGUCUAACAUACAUUUUUGUCUCUAAAAUAGCAUUUUAGCUUGCCAGAAUAGUCAUGCUUCUUACAAACCUUUUCCGGUGUAAAACAGAACUGAAAUCUUCAUGGAAACAAUCUUAAAUAAAAUACCAUUCUGAAAUACUUCAUUCGCUCUGAAAACAAAAUGGCAUGUAAUUCUUAGAAAGCAUUAUAAUACUUAUAAAAAAAAUUAUGCCUACAUAAAUCUUACAAAUAUAAACACUGUACAAAGAAAGCAAGGGUCUAAUCUCUGAUUACCAUGUUUGCCUCUGCAGAAAUGGGCUUUUUUAAUGCAUUUCUUUAUAGGGUCAAACGCAUUUAACUCUUAAACUCUAAGAUUAAGAGGAUUAUCUAUGGAUUAUCUAUACAUAUAUGUGACAGCGCUGCUUGCUGAUGUCCUUUGCUGAGAACAAUAACCCAAUUUUCACAGUACUCUGAAUUCUACAUUAGCCCACCAACACCAUCAUGAUGGACCAGGUCUGGUACAGCAGAUUACUUAACUGAAGCAUUUUUUUUGCAAGUUACCCAUGUGCCACAAAUUUAGAGGGACACUAUAUUGUAUAAGUCUUUUACUUUUAAUAUGGCACAACAAGCACUCAGUGUUUCCGUUUUUGCAGACUUUCUUCUCACAGAGAAAUGAAGCAUGCUGAAUGUAUCCUUUUGCAACCGUCACAUGAGGUGGAAUCAAGUCUCUAAAUGUGCAGGGGACUGGCAAAGUAGCUGGAGAAAUAAAUCUGAAACUGUUAAAUUAUUUAGUGAUCGUUCUGAACUCAAGGUGAUCUCCAUUAGUAUGGAAGAAGUUCUUAUAUAUUACUGGAGAAAUUCUUUGACUCACAAACUCUCAGGUAUACUCUG